UUUCCUAGCGGCGGACGGGUGAGUAAUGCUUAGGAAUCUGCCUAUUAGUGGGGGACAACGUUUCGAAAGGAACGCUAAUACCGCAUACGCCCUACGGGGGAAAGCAGGGGAUCUUCGGACCUUGCGCUAAUAGAUGAGCCUAAGCCAGAUUAGCUAGUUGGUGGGGUAAAGGCCUACCAAGGCGACGAUCUGUAGCGGGUCUGAGAGGAUGAUCCGCCACACUAGGACUGAGACACGGCCCAGACUCCUACGGAAGGCAGCAG
RNAcentral lists this ribosomal RNA (263 nucleotides) under uncultured bacterium. Its description in RNAcentral is "partial 16S ribosomal RNA". It matches the Rfam family "Bacterial small subunit ribosomal RNA", at positions 88 to 354 of the family's 1533-position model. The record is from RNAcentral.